Small nucleolar RNA from Zingiber officinale, 107 nucleotides. Lineage: Eukaryota; Viridiplantae; Streptophyta; Magnoliopsida; Zingiberales; Zingiberaceae. The record is from RefSeq and is a predicted model, not a curated record.
CAACCAUGAUGAGGGCACUGUCUUUGUAGACUCUUGAAUCUGCCCCAUGCUUUAAAUAAUAAUUCUUCAUAUGCCUGAGCAAAAUUUGUGAUGCAAUUCCUCAUAUA